AUUGAACGCUGGCGGCAUGCCUUACACAUGCAAGUCGAACGGUGACGGGCCUUCGGGUGCCGACGAGUGGCGAACGGGUGAGUAAUACAUCGGAACGUGCCCGAUCGUGGGGGAUAACGAGGCGAAAGCUUUGCUAAUACCGCAUACGAUCUACGGAUGAAAGCAGGGGACCGCAAGGCCUUGCGCGGACGGAGCGGCCGAUGGCAGAUUAGGUAGUUGGUGGGAUUAAAGCUUACCAAGCCGGCGAUCUGUAGCUGGUCUGAGAGGAUGAUCAGCCACCACUGGACCUGGAACACGCCCCGACCUCCUACGGAGGCCAGCAGUGGGGAUUUUUGACCAAUGGCCGCAACCCUAUCCCGCCCAUCCCCGUUGAAGGUGAAAGCCUUCCGGUUUGUAACCUCCUUUUUUCGGAACCAAAAGCCCUCUUUUAAUUCCAGGGGGUUAAGACCGUAACCGAAAGAUAAGCCACCGCUUAACUCCUU
RNAcentral lists this ribosomal RNA (482 nucleotides) under uncultured bacterium. RNAcentral's name for it is "partial 16S ribosomal RNA". It matches the Rfam family "Bacterial small subunit ribosomal RNA", at positions 30 to 506 of the family's 1533-position model. The record is from RNAcentral.